RNAcentral lists this ribosomal RNA (253 nucleotides) under uncultured bacterium. RNAcentral describes it as "partial 16S ribosomal RNA". It matches the Rfam family "Bacterial small subunit ribosomal RNA", at positions 524 to 776 of the family's 1533-position model. The record is from RNAcentral.
GACGGAGGGUGCAAGCGUUGUUCGGAUUGACUGGGCGUAAAGGGCGUGUAGGCGGUUGGUCAAGUCGGGGGUGAAAGCCUGAGGCUCAGCCUCCGAAGUGCAUCCGAAACUAGCCAGCUAGAGCGCGAUAGAGGAGGGUGGAAUUACUGGUGUAGCGGUGAGAUGCGUAGAUAUCAGGAGGAACACCGGCGGCGAAGGCGGGCCUCUGGCUCGUUGCUGACGCUGAGACGCGAAAGCGUGGGGAGCAAACAGG